This 484-nucleotide ribosomal RNA is filed under the name uncultured bacterium. Its description in RNAcentral is "partial 16S ribosomal RNA". It matches the Rfam family "Bacterial small subunit ribosomal RNA", at positions 30 to 507 of the family's 1533-position model. The record is from RNAcentral.
AUUGAACGCUGGCGGCAGGCCUAACACAUGCAAGUCGAGCGGAUGAAGGGAGCUUGCUCCUGGAUUCAGCGGCGGACGGGUGAGUAAUGCCUAGGAAUCUGCCUGGUAGUGGGGGAUAACGUCCGGAAACGGGCGCUAAUACCGCAUACGUCCUGAGGGAGAAAGUGGGGGAUCUUCGGACCUCACGCUAUCAGAUGAGCCUAGGUCGGAUUAGCUAGUUGGUGGGGUAAAGGCCUACCAAGGCGACGAUCCGUAACUGGUCUGAGAGGAUGAGCAGUCACACUGGAACUGAGACACGGUCCAGACUCCUACGGGAGGCAGCAGUGGGGAAUAUUGGGCAAUGGGCGAAAGCCUGCUACAGCCAUGCCGAGUGUGUGAAGAAGGUCUUCGGAUUGUAAAGCACUUUAAGUUGGGAGGAAGGACAGUAAGUUAAUACCUUGCUGUUUUGACGUUACCAACAGAAUAAGCACCGGCUAACUUCGUG